Molecule: ribosomal RNA, 468 nt
Filed under: uncultured bacterium
Lineage: Bacteria
Description: partial 16S ribosomal RNA
Rfam family: Bacterial small subunit ribosomal RNA
Source: RNAcentral
GACGAACGCUGGCGGCGUGCUUAACACAUGCAAGUCGAACGGAAAGGCCCUGCUUUUGUGGGGUGCUCGAGUGGCGAACGGGUGAGUAACACGUGAGUAACCUGCCCUUGACUUUUGGAUAACUUCAGGAAACUGGGGCUAAUACCGGAUAGGAGCUCCUGCUGCAUGGUGGGGGUUGGAAAGUUUCGGCGGUUGGGGAUGGACUCGCGGCUUAUCAGCUUGUUGGUGGGGUAGUGGCUUACCAAGGCUUUGACGGGUAGCCGGCCUGAGAGGGUGACCGGCCACAUUGGGACUGAGAUAAGGCCCAGACUCCUACGGGAGGCAGCAGUGGGGAAUAUUGCACAAUGGGCGGAAGCCUGAUGCAGCAACGCCGCGUGCGGGAUGACGGCCUUCGGGUUGUAAACCGCUUUCGCCUGUGACGAAGCGUGAGUGACGGUAAUGGGUAAAGAAGCACCGGCUAACUACGUG